This 206-nucleotide ribosomal RNA is filed under the name uncultured Eubacteriales bacterium. RNAcentral describes it as "uncultured Clostridiales bacterium partial 16S ribosomal RNA". It matches the Rfam family "Bacterial small subunit ribosomal RNA", at positions 568 to 774 of the family's 1533-position model. The record is from RNAcentral. Lineage: Bacteria; Bacillati; Bacillota; Clostridia; Eubacteriales.
UGAGUAGGCGGUUAUAUGUGUCAGAUGUAAAAGGCGUGGGCUUAACCUACGUUAGCAUUUGAAACUGUAUGACUUGAGUGCAGGAGAGGUAAGUGGAAUUCCUAGUGUAGCGGUGAAAUGCGUAGAUAUUAGGAGGAACACCAGUGGCGAAGGCGACUUACUGGACUGUAACUGACGCUGAGUCACGAAAGCGUGGGUAGCAAACA